This 300-nucleotide ribosomal RNA is filed under the name uncultured Acidimicrobiales bacterium. RNAcentral describes it as "bacterial SSU rRNA". It matches the Rfam family "Bacterial small subunit ribosomal RNA", at positions 114 to 413 of the family's 1533-position model. The record is from RNAcentral. Lineage: Bacteria; Bacillati; Actinomycetota; Acidimicrobiia; Acidimicrobiales.
CACGUGAGAAACCUGCCCUAGAGACCGGGACAACCAUUGGAAACGAUGGCUAAUACCGGAUGCCUUCACAUGGUCGCAUGACCGAGUGAAGAAAGGCUCUGGCGCUCUAGGAGGGUCUCGCGGCCUAUCAGCUAGUUGGUGGGGUAACGGCCUACCAAGGCAUCGACGGGUAGCUGGUCUGAGAGGACGAUCAGCCACACUGGGACUGAGACACGGCCCAGACUCCUACGGGAGGCAGCAGUAGGGAAUAUUGCGCAAUGGGGGAAACCCUGACGCAGCAACGCCGCGUGUGGGAUGACG